RNAcentral lists this long non-coding RNA (666 nucleotides) under Mytilus galloprovincialis (Mediterranean mussel). Lineage: Eukaryota; Metazoa; Mollusca; Bivalvia; Mytilida; Mytilidae. The record is from RNAcentral.
CGAUUUACUCCCAUGAUCAAUAAUUUGAAAUGUUGGAAUGGCCGAUUAAAAAGCCAGAAUAUUAUCAAACGUAAUUUCAUCACUUUCGAAACGUUGUCGUACAGUGUACAAUAUCCAUUGAUUGUUGUCAUCCGGGUGUUUUUCAUUAUCAAGAUCAUUUGUUUAGGGGUUCACAACAGGGAACCCAGGAUUUCGACAUCACGAUGUGAAUUUUUUACUCCGUGAUACAAAUUUGUUUAUCCAAGUUAAAACGUAAGUUCAAUCCGAGAUAUAUUCGGUGUGUCGUUUCGUUUAAUUGACACGUUUAUAAUGUUUUAAUAAAUAAUACAGCUCACUACUGUACGAUUGUAGGUUCACAGUUUGACACCUGACUAAUUGAUUAUCACGAAAAGCCAUAUUGUAUAAACAAAUAUGUUUUGAUUGCAUAUCGAUCAUUGAAAUAAAUUAGACAAACCGGUUUUGACAGGUAAUAAUUAAUGUAAUUAAGAGUAUUGGGACUUCAUAGACCGGAAUUCGGAAUACACAGGGUCCGGUUUACAAAGGGUAUUUUAACAAAGACUUUGAAUGGAAAAAUAUGGGACUUUCAUUUUCGGCCGGAAUGGACAGGAAACCGGUUUAUUCAGGGUCCGGUUUAAUCAGGUUUGACUGUAUACAAAACACAAUAAU